GCCCUUGUAGUUCAAUGGAUAGAACAAUCCCGUCCUAAGGGAUGGAUCUGGGUUCGAUUCCUAGCAAGGGCA
RNAcentral lists this transfer RNA (72 nucleotides) under Candidatus Kerfeldbacteria bacterium CG08_land_8_20_14_0_20_42_7. Its description in RNAcentral is "tRNA-Arg". It matches the Rfam family "tRNA". From Rfam's summary of the family: Transfer RNA (tRNA) molecules are approximately 80 nucleotides in length. Their secondary structure includes four short double-helical elements and three loops (D, anti-codon, and T loops). Lineage: Bacteria; Candidatus Kerfeldiibacteriota. The record is from RNAcentral.